GAUGAACGCUGGCGGCGUGCCUAAUACAUGCAAGUCGAGCGAACAGACGAGGAGCUUGCUCCUUUGACGUUAGCGGCGGACGGGUGAGUAACACGUAGGUAACCUACCUAUAAGACUGGGAUAACUUCGGGAACCCGGAGCUAAUCCCGGAUAAUUUUUCGAACCGAUUGGUUCGUUAGUUAAAGUUGGUUUUCUUUUCACUUUUAUAUGGACUUGCGCCGUAUUAGCUAGUUGGUAAGUUAACGGCUUACCAAGGCAACGAUACGUAGCCGACCUGAGAGGGUGAUCGGCCACACUGGAACUGAGACACGGUCCAGACUCCUACGGGAGGCAGCAGUAGGGAAUCUUCCGCAAUGGGCGAAAGCCUGACGGAGCAACGCCGCGUGAGUGAUGAAGGUCUUCGGAUCGUAAAACUCUGUUAUUAGGGAAGAACAAACGUGUAAGUAACUGUGCACGUCUUGACGGUACCUAAUCAGAAAGCCACGGCUAACUACGUG
Molecule: ribosomal RNA, 497 nt
Filed under: uncultured bacterium
Lineage: Bacteria
Description: partial 16S ribosomal RNA
Rfam family: Bacterial small subunit ribosomal RNA
Source: RNAcentral